ACGGGUGAGUAACGCGUAGGUAACCUGCCUGGUAGCGGGGGAUAACUAUUGGAAACGAUAGCUAAUACCGCAUAAUAGCAGUUGUUGCAUGACAGCUGUUUGAAAGGUGCAAUUGCACCACUACCAGAUGGACCUGCGUUGUAUUAGCUAGUUGGUGGGGUAACGGCUCACCAAGGCGACGAUACAUAGCCGACCUGAGAGGGUGAUCGGCCACACUGGGACUGAGACACGGCCUAAACUCCUACGGGAGGCAGCAGUAGGGAAUCUUCGGCAAUGGACGAAAGUCUGACGGAGCGACACCGCGUGAACGAUGAAGGCCGAAAGGUUGUAAAGUUCUUUUGCAGACAAAGAAUAAGGAUAGAAGGAAAUGACUAUCUGAUGACGGUAGUUAUGCGAAUAAGCCCCGGCGAAUUACGUGCCAGCAGCCGCGGUAAUACGUAAGGGGCGAGCGUUGUUCGGAAUUAUUGGGCGUAAAGGGCAUGUAGGCGGUUAGGUAAGCCUGAUGUGAAAUGUACGAGCUUAACUCGUAAACUGCAUUGGGUACUGCUUGACUUGAAUCAUGGAGGGGAAACUGGAAUUCCAAGUGUAGGGGUGGAAUCUGUAGAUAUUUGGAAGAACACCGGUGGCGAAGGCGGGUUUCUAGCCAAUGAUUGACGCUAAGGUGCGAAGGUGCGGGGAGCAAACAGGAUUAGAUACCCUGGUAGUCCGCACAGUAAAC
This 718-nucleotide ribosomal RNA is filed under the name uncultured bacterium. RNAcentral describes it as "bacterial SSU rRNA". It matches the Rfam family "Bacterial small subunit ribosomal RNA", at positions 102 to 807 of the family's 1533-position model. The record is from RNAcentral.